GCUUACGGCCACACCUCAUUGAGCACGUCUGAUCUCGGAAGCUAAGCAGGGUCGGGCCCGGUUAGUACUUGGAUGGGAGACCGCCUGGGAAUACCAGGUGCUGUAAGCC
Ribosomal RNA from Esox lucius (northern pike), 109 nucleotides. Lineage: Eukaryota; Metazoa; Chordata; Actinopteri; Esociformes; Esocidae. The record is from Ensembl.